GAUAAAGUGAUGAUCAUGCUUUAUAAUGGUAGUGUAUGAAUUGUUUGGGGGUAAUUACAGAGCCUUUGUAGCUUACUUUACUUCUGAUGAAGUCUCUGUUUUAAUGAAGCCUAAUUUUAAUGGCCAAAAUUAUGAGUGAGUGUGUUUAAUCCCCAAACUUAUCACAGAGGAUGGUACAGUGUUAAAAAAGGGGCAUAACCAAAUAACGCAGUGCAGACAAUUUUUGAUGUCAGAUUGUAUGGCCAAAACAAGGUAUCUUUUCUGGCAUAAGCUGAAACUAAAUCUGCCACUGAACAAAAUAUAAAAAAAUAUCUUAGUCUGAUGAUGGUCUGUUGAACAUUCUAGGAAUUGUGGGUAAAAAUGUGCAGGUAUAAGAUAUGGGACGACACAACAGGAAUUUUAUUGGUGAAUCGUGAUAAUUGAGUUUUACUUUGGAUUUGAUAUGUCUGAUUUAUAUUGUUUGAAAUCAAUAAAACAAAUAAUUACAAUAGUUGACAAUGUGUAUCUAUCUAUCAAACCCUAAUCCACGGCUCAAUCCACGGCUAUAUAGAUAGAAAUGUUAAGUGUUUUCCCGUCUGUUUGUGAGAGAAGUGAUACAUUUCUUAGGUUGACACAUGUUUGACUGCAAGCUGCCCCGUUACAUAAAAUUGAGAAUGGAAAAGGGGAAUGUGUCAAAGAGACAACAACCCGUUACAUGAAUGUUUAUUGAAAAGAAGGAAAAGGUUACAACUCAAAAAGGAAAAGAAGAAAUUUUACAGCUGUUACAGGAAUCUCUCCCUCCUCAAAUUAUAAAUAACAAGCCCCUUUGAUUGAAAAGACCAAGAUCAAAUGAACACUAUUAAAUAUGGGACAGUCAUUAGAUUUAAGAAGGGGGAGGGGGGGGGAGGUACGAGGUCACUUAAGUCUUGAUAACUAAAAGUAGAUUACUGUUUCAUGCUUUUCCCAGACAGAAUAUAUGACCAUUUUGGAAGCCAUGACGAGGUCUGCUUAGAACUGAAACAAUGUCAAAUAAAAACUAGCUUAAAAGACACAUAAAUGAUUGUCUUGCACAACACAACACAGGAUUUUUACAUGUAAAAAUGUGAAACUGCAGUUGCAGAUCCACAAACUUUCAUUAUAAGGGAGCU
RNAcentral lists this long non-coding RNA (1127 nucleotides) under Mytilus galloprovincialis (Mediterranean mussel). Lineage: Eukaryota; Metazoa; Mollusca; Bivalvia; Mytilida; Mytilidae. The record is from RNAcentral.